This is a long non-coding RNA of Magnolia sinica, 3011 nucleotides long. RefSeq lists it as uncharacterized. Lineage: Eukaryota; Viridiplantae; Streptophyta; Magnoliopsida; Magnoliales; Magnoliaceae. The transcript has 7 exons. The record is from RefSeq and is a predicted model, not a curated record.
CAAGUUCAAGCAUAUAUUCAGCUGAACUGCAGUAGGUGCAGCCCCAGAACUGUAGCAGGUGGAAUCCCCUAUUGUAGUGAAGCAAAAUUCCAUGCAUCGACAGUCUGCUCAGCAUGCAUAGAUGUCAGCUGGAGCGAAAGAUGCAGAUGCUGGCCAGGUGAAAGCAGAAGCCCAACAGCAACAACAAAAUUCAUCUAAUGAUUUGAACAUUGAACCUGCUACUAAUUUUGGAGUAAAUAAGAGUCUCAUGAACGAGAUUUCAAAAUAUAGUGUGGAUGGUCUUGUUUUGAUAAGUACUGUUAAGAUAAAGCUAUGGAAGCAGAAGCUACUUUCUUUCUUGCAAGGUGCAUCUAUUUUACAUUUUUUCCCAACUCAGAUGUGAUUUUUUCUGUGCAUCCUCAAACUGACAGUGGUGUUCCUUAUAAAGGAACCCUUGUAAAACAGGGUUCCUAUUAUAUGGAUUACAUUUUUUCCCAACUCUGAUGUGAUGUUAUAUUAUAAAGGAAGAAGAAGAAGAUGAGUGUGGAUCUAGUCCCUUCUUUGAACUCCCAUAGCCAGCUUGAUGGGCAGAUUUCUCAGCUCAUGUAGUGCAAGCCCCUCUCCGAGCAAGAGGUAGAGACGGCAGAGACUGUAAUGUGCAUGAAUGAACCAGUUCUUAUGAAGAUUCCAUCAAAGAGCCAUCUUUAUGUACCGGUUUCUGCAUAUCUCGACCCAUCUCGACCCAAGUAUUUCAGAGGCAUCGGCUUGGAUAAUUCAACAAGUUCGUUAACAGUACUUAGAGUUGUCAAGCAUUUUAAGAUAUUUCAGGUAAUUACUUUAAUACGGGACUGUGUUACAUGAACUGCAUAUGCUUUCUUAUUACAAGUCUCUACUUGGGAUUUAUAUCUCUUGUUGGCUCAUAUUCUCCAUGUUCUUUCAUGAUCCUUUGUUAUGGAGCUUCAAUUUAAAAAUAAAAAAUAAAAAAUAUGCUGGUAAGAUCAAUUAGUGGUGACUUCAACUUGCCUGAAUGUCAAGCUUUUAUCUAAAAAAAAAAUUAAUUUACAUAGCACAAAAGUAGUUAAGAACUUCUUAGGUUGGAAGCAAUAUUUACAAUUUUCUUUUAGCUUUUAGCAUUUAGCAAGUUAGCAUGCACCAACAUUUACUCCAUGCUUUCAGUAGGUAUAUUGUAGUUCACCAAUCUGUUUCUUUUUAAUUGAGCGUCUUGACUUAGAUUGAUAUUUAUGUUCCAGGGAGCCUCCCAUGUAUAUUAGGAAGUUAAGCAUGUUCAUGCUUUUAAAGACAUCAUGUAAUAGAAACUCCCAUGUAUAUUCAGAUUUUUUUUCUUGGAAAGGCCAUAGUUCUAGUCAUUCAAACUUUGUGUUCAGGGACAUUCGUGUUUUUCCAUUGUAUGAUGACCAUCCCACCUAACAUACAAUCGUAUUUCUUACAUGGAUAUUUAUUUUUUCAUGCAAAAUAUUCUUUUUUUUCCUUGAUUGUUCCUUUGUGUCAACUCUAGUAUUUUGGAUAAGCUUUAGUUUUAAUUAUUGUUUCUAAACUUUGGUAUGAGUUUCGAUUUGAGCAUGUAGUUCAAUGGUAGAAAAUCUGCAUUACAACAUUGAAACCUAUGGUAGUCUAGCUCACCUGGAUUAAAUGGGAGCUACUAACAGAGGUCUUUAAACCAUGCAUUCUUUUCUUUCUUAUAACCAUGGCCCACUUAGAGAUUAGAUCAGGACAAUUGGCUAGGCUGGGCCAUUCAUCGUUGGUCGGAGCAUGGCCUGGCCAUUAAUUGAGCUCCACUAUUAAGAUGCUUUUUUUGAAAAUAAUGUUGGCUCGCUGAUCCAUAUCAAACUUGGAUGAGAAAAAAUAAUAAUAAAGAGAAGUCCAAUAGCCUACAUUCAACAAAUAUAUGUCAAAGAUAUGUGGCUUACUUAAUAAGAGUGCCACCUUAAAUUUUAGAAUAUAACAUGUUCAUAGUACUUGCAAGCUAAAAUGCUUAUUGUAUUGUGCAAAAACAGUUUCGUAUAGCCUACCUCAAUGUAUUUAUCCCAAACAACCAGCUCUAUGAUGAUACACGUUGAGUCUUCAUUCCAUCUAUACCCACUUUGAGUAGAUCUGUCAUUAUAUUGUAGUGUUUUUUCAAAGUUUUGAUUCAACAAGUUGAUUUAGAUAGCCACAUUGUGAAAAUCUUAGUGAUCGGAUGAUUCUAACCAUCUAAUCAUGGCCUAUAAAAGAUGGAUGGUUAAUAUUGUUUAUGGAAGUAGGUCCAGUCAAGAAUUUGAACCAUGAGUUCGGGGACCGUCACGGAUUGGUUGUAACAGUUCUAAGAAUCACUUUGAUUAGAUAAUCCUAACCAUCCCAUCCAUGGAUUGGUUGUAACUAGAGAUUUAAUUGGUAAUGUCUUGAUUUUAUUAGCGAUGAUUCUCGGCGCAUUUGAGGUGUUUGAUAAGAGAUUUUAUACAUGCAUCAUCAAGCCACUACAUAGCUUCCCUUGUGAAAAAUUCAGGCCAUCUGCUCAAGUCGACAUGCCAUACAUCUAUGUUAAUUGCUCACUGUCCAUUUCGUUUGCAUACAGUUGGCUCACCUGACUUACAUGUGUCCUGAUUCUUACACCAAGGCAUAAGUUGCAGGUGAUCUUGAUGAGUGGUAUCAAGAUCACCUGCAACUUUUGGUGUAGUGUAUAUAUAUAUAUUUUUCAUUUCAGGUGAUCUUGAUGAGUGGUAUCAGUAGCCAUGCUCUGGAGGAGCUGUGUUCUACGAUGACAGGAUACCCCAUCUUAAUAAUAUCCUUAGGUUUGCAAUUCUCAGGAAAGAAUGUUCCUUCAUGGCAAUUGGAGGCCCAUGGAAUGCAGCUCUAGAUAGUGGAGAUCCCUUGGUUGAUGAUUCCUCCUUGGUUCAGUCAGCUCUUAGACAUGUGAAAGAUUUAACCCAACUUGAUCUGUAAAAUUCCCAGCACUGGAAUCGGUUUCUUCAGGUAGUCUUGGCUCCUUUUGUACUUUCUUAGUUCAUGUUUUUGUGUUACAUGACUAUCAUGUG